GAUCCUGGCUCAGGAUGAACGCUGGCGGCGUGCCUAACACAUGCAAGUCGAACGAAGCGAUUUAACGGAAAUUUUCGGAUGGAAGUUGAAUUGACUGAGUGGCGGACGGGUGAGUAACGCGUGGGUAACCUGCCUUGUACUGGGGGACAACAGUUAGAAAUGACUGCUAAUACCGCAUAAGCGCACAGUAUCGCAUGAUACCGUGUGAAAAACUCCGGUGGUACAAGAUGGACCCGCGU
Molecule: ribosomal RNA, 239 nt
Filed under: uncultured bacterium
Lineage: Bacteria
Description: partial 16S ribosomal RNA
Rfam family: Bacterial small subunit ribosomal RNA
Source: RNAcentral